UAGUUCUUAUGGGUUCUGCAUAAGGAUUCAUCAUGGUGAUUUAUGUUAUGCGCAGGCUGGUGUACUAGGAAAAAUUACGAAUAUACAAGAAGAAGCUAGGGCAAUAUUGGAGGCGUUAAGAUUUUGGGCAACUAUGCAGAGAAAGUCAUAGAAACAGACUCCCUUGUGAUGAUUAAGAUCAUCAAGAAACAUGGAAAGUGCCUUGGGAAGUAGUAGAGGUGGUGAAAGAGAUCAAGGAGGCAGUGUCAAAACAAGGUGUUAAACUACAACAUAUCUUUAGAGAGGGAAAUCAACUAGCAGCUUAUCUAGCUAAUCAUGC
RNAcentral lists this long non-coding RNA (319 nucleotides) under Solanum tuberosum (potato). RNAcentral's name for it is "long non-coding RNA (STUB_LNC008964)". Lineage: Eukaryota; Viridiplantae; Streptophyta; Magnoliopsida; Solanales; Solanaceae. The record is from RNAcentral.